ACAGGUUCCCUUUAAAAGAACUGGCGGAAAAAAUAUUCUCCUGGGCCGAAAAAGAAUGUUCUCUCCAUCACAGCUAUCCAUUUAAAGGGUACAGAAAACAUACAGGCGGAGUUCCU
Molecule: long non-coding RNA, 116 nt
Organism: Bufo bufo (common toad)
Lineage: Eukaryota; Metazoa; Chordata; Amphibia; Anura; Bufonidae
Exons: 3
Source: RefSeq, a predicted model, not a curated record